GCCCUUAGAGUUUGAUCAUGGCUCAGAAUGAACGCUGGCGGCGUGCCUAACACAUGCAAGUCAAACGGCUUUGUAGCAAUACGAAGCAGUGGCGCACGGGUGAGUAAUACAUGGGAAUUUCCCAAGUGGAGAAGAAUACCUACGGGAAACUGUAAUUAAUACUUCGUAAGCAGGGCAUCUUCGGAUGUACUGGAAAGAUGGGGAUCGGAGCAAUCCGACCUAUCGCCAUUUGAUAAGCUCAUGUCCCAUUAGCUAGUUGGUGAGGUAACGGCCCACCAAGGCGACGAUGGGUAACUGGUCUGAGAGGACGAUCAGUCACACUGGAACUGAGACACGGUCCAGACUCCUACGGGAGGCAGCAGUGGGGAAUAUUGCGCAAUGGGCGAAAGCCUGACGCAGCAACGCCGCGUGAGUGAAGAAGGCCUUCGGGUUGUAAAGCUCUUUCGGUUGGGAAGAAGGGUGUAGAGGUGAACAAUCUCUGCAUUUGAUGG
This 491-nucleotide ribosomal RNA is filed under the name uncultured bacterium. RNAcentral describes it as "bacterial SSU rRNA". It matches the Rfam family "Bacterial small subunit ribosomal RNA", at positions 1 to 475 of the family's 1533-position model. The record is from RNAcentral.